AAAGGGAAUGGUAAUGAACUAAAUGGGAUGAAACAUCAUUAGUUUGUGUGAAACACUGUUCUAAGAUUCCACUUCUGUCUCGUUCUCAAACAUUAUGAUUGGAGAGGUUAAACAAAUCGUAGAACAUGCACCAUUUGAUGGGGGGUGAACGAUGGGAUUUGAUGGGAUUAUCUCUAUGAUGAGAAUGAUGUCCGCAACUAUGUUGGCACCUUGUCUUUCAGCAAAAAUCCAAAAAAAAUCUCCCUCAAAUAUGACGAUGGGGAAUGGAUCGAUACCUUUGGAUCUAAUUUUUGUAUUGUUACUAUUAUUAUUAUUUUAUAAUUGAUCUUUGUGCAUCAAGGAAGGACAAAAAAAAAGAAACAAGAAGCUAACAAAAGAAGAGGUAAUUAACCUUCUGGUGAUUCGACGUGGAUUGAAUCGACUCUAGGCUUAGCUUGACCCAAAUGUCAUAUAAA
This 455-nucleotide long non-coding RNA is filed under the name Phoenix dactylifera (date palm). Its description in RNAcentral is "long non-coding RNA (PDAC_LNC005146)". The record is from RNAcentral. Lineage: Eukaryota; Viridiplantae; Streptophyta; Magnoliopsida; Arecales; Arecaceae.